This 482-nucleotide ribosomal RNA is filed under the name uncultured bacterium. RNAcentral describes it as "partial 16S ribosomal RNA". It matches the Rfam family "Bacterial small subunit ribosomal RNA", at positions 30 to 507 of the family's 1533-position model. The record is from RNAcentral.
AUUGAACGCUGGCGGCAUGCCUUACACAUGCAAGUCGAACGGUAACAGGUCUUCGGAUGCUGACGAGUGGCGAACGGGUGAGUAAUACAUCGGAACGUGCCCGAUCGUGGGGGAUAACGAAGCGAAAGCUUUGCUAAUACCGCAUAAGAUCUACGGAUGAAAGCCGGGGACCGCAAGGCCUUGCGCGAACGGAGCGGCCGAUGGCAGAUUAGGUAGUUGGUGGGAUAAAAGCUUACCAAGCCGACGAUCUGUAGCUGGUCUGAGAGGACGACCAGCCACACUGGGACUGAGACACGGCCCAGACGCCUACGGGAGGCAGCAGUGGGGAAUUUUGGACAAUGGGCGAAAGCCUGAUCCAGCCAUGCCGCGUGCAGGAUGAAGGCCUUCGGGUUGUAAACUGCUUUUGUACGGAACGAAAAGACUCUGGUUAAUACCUGGGGUCCAUGACGGUACCGUAAGAAUAAGCACCGGCUAACUACGUG